GCGCCGCGUUGUGUUUACAUCGUGCGGAAAGGAGCGCGAUGCGGAACCGCGGGGUUUGGGCUUUUCCGUGAAAAGGGCGAGAGCGGCCGCCUGGGCCGGAGGACUGGGAAGCGCUGCGCACCCAAACUUCGUUAAAAUAAAGCAUUCGGGAUAAAGACGGAGGCAGAAGAGCGGCCGGCUGUCCCCGAGCGGUCCCCGUUGGGUUUGCGUCGCCCAAGAAGCCCUGGCGCUCUGCGGCGCCUUAGAGCGGGCAGCAAAGCCGGAGCAGCCCGGUUCGAACAGGCCAUAGUAAAGAACAGUGCCUGCUGCUACAGAGCUGCACAUUCACGGAAGGGUUUUAAAACACACGCAGGGAUUUAGCUUUUGUUCUUCAUUGUGAGACUGAGAGCUUCACACAAAAAGAUGAAGAGAUUUGUAUGAAUGAUUGGAUUGGGAAGAGGAAUUUCCUCCUGCAGAGAAAGAGGUACUUCUACUUCUCUGUGUAUGCUGCAGUGUUUCCAGGUGCAUGGUAGUGUCUUGACUUCUUGGGCAUUCUUACAGACCAGAGUGAAGCUGAAACAGAAACAUUUACAAUCAGGAUUAUUUAUGCUAGUCAGCUCAGUGCAAAAUGUGUGAAUAUAACGAGUUAUGUGAACACUUAUGAACUAAUAAUGCACUGAGAUCAUCCAUAAUAUGGAAAUUCAACAAACAGCAGUUUGCCACCCACAGCUGGAGGAGAUGACUCAGUUUUUUCUCUGGGAAAGACUGACAUUGUCACUGCUACAUGCAAAGUGGAAAAGGGUACUGAUUGCUGCUUCAUGUGAGUAUUUAGUGGCCUGGACGUGGAUCCUCCCUUUGGCACAGCUAUUCCAAGGGCUUCAGGGACUAUGUGCCCUCAUGAGAGUUGCUUUCGUGGAGAAUUUUUCUGUCAAAGCUGCUUGGUGCAUUAUUCAAGUGCAAUAACCUGCUUUCAAACUUCCCUUGAUGAUUUAAUUUCAAACACAAAAAAGCAUCACAAGGCUGUACUCUUUGCUGUACUCAAACUUCCAUACUUUUAACAACUUGCCGCAAGAGCCUGCCAAAUAAUGUAACUUUAUUUAAAAAUUUGUUUAUUUUAUCAUUGUCUUCCAAGAAGCAGCAAAAUUAAUUUUAAUUAAAAUUUGUAUUUAGGAAACAAUCAACAAACCACACACAUAACCACAUGCACAGCUUGAUCUGCUGCUGGGGUGAACCACGGUAUGCCAAGCUUCAGCCUGAAGCUAAUUUUUUACAGCCAAGUUAUAAAGCCCUGAAAAGGGGGUUUUAUUGUGGAAAUGCUGACAGAACCAUAGUGGUGCUACUGGCUGCCUCUCUAAUUAGUUUAAAGAAUGGAAAGUUGUAUUUUGGAAUAUGUGGUAAGCCCUCUUUUCCUGAUGUUGCUGGUUUAUGCCAAAACUACAGGAUUAAUUUGAUGUUAUUACAAGAUUGAGAAGAUGAGUUUUUUGCUGUCAUGAGAGGUACUUUCAGGCAGCAAACUGGAUUUGUACUUUCAAUUACAUAAAUAUUAAAUGGUGCAAUUUUGAUUUGGUUUUGGUGACAGUAGCGGAUCCCUGCUGUGUUCACUCUACUUUGAAGAAGAUGUGGAGUCCACAUGGUGUUUCUUGCAUGUUUUCCAGAAACUACUUUUAAAUUCCUUCAAUAAAAGUUACUUUUAUUCCUGUUUAA
Cyanistes caeruleus (blue tit) is the source of this 1683-nucleotide non-coding RNA. The record is from RefSeq and is a predicted model, not a curated record. Lineage: Eukaryota; Metazoa; Chordata; Aves; Passeriformes; Paridae.